GACGAAACUGCGAUGAAUUGAGGGAAAUUACCCAAACUGCGUGAAGAUGUAGCCGCAGGUGAAUAUUCCUGAUCAUGAUUACUCCGUUUGACGAUUUUGUCUAUCUCAUCAACAAUGUUCUUUUGGGGGAAGAGCCGUUGGGACAAUCGUGGCUUUUGUCGCUUUCGUACUCUGGUGCUGUUUCCCGGUCGUUCCAAAGGACUCGCAGACGCCGCUCCACUAUGAAGGUAAAGACUAUCAGCUCAAGUAUAACCAAAGGAAAGUUGAUUACUGUUCCACAUAAGUCUUAAUCGAUUUCAUA
This is an RNA transcript of Tribolium castaneum (red flour beetle), 301 nucleotides long. RefSeq lists it as hypothetical. The transcript is spliced from 2 exons. The record is from RefSeq and is a predicted model, not a curated record. Lineage: Eukaryota; Metazoa; Arthropoda; Insecta; Coleoptera; Tenebrionidae.